GAAAGGGAGAGAUAAGAGAAGAGAGUUGGGAAAAGAGAGAGAGACAGAAGCCAGUGUGUAAGUAAGAGAGACGCGUGAAAGCCGCUGAUACAGUGUGCAAAGGAGGGGACAAGGUGAAGAGGAGGAUACUCGACUCAGUAGCUUCUUGGUAAAAUUAUGAAACAAUGUAUCCAAGAAGAAAACAUGGGUAUAGCGUCAAAGUUUAGAAAAAAGAAAUUCGAAAAUUUAAUACAAUUGUAAAAAUUGUUUUUAAUUUAUUAUUUAAUUUAAAUGUAAAUUUACGUAUGAAUGUAAAAACGAUCGAAUAUAAUAUAAGCAUGAUAAAGCAAGACAAAAAGGAAAUUUAAAAAAAUGUAUGAAAACGAACAAAAAUAUUUUAAUUAAGUAUAUAUGUAUUAUAGUAAAAUAUUGUAAUUAUGUAUGUAUGUAUGUAUAACGUAUAUAAUUAUGUAUAUUAAUAUUGUCGUGUAUAGGAGACUAUCUGUAAUUAGGAUAUCAAUGUAUGCACAAAUAUUUUUCGCUGUAUGUGUUAAAGUAACAAAAAUUAUGCAUUUUGGCAAAUCUAAAAUUUAUAACAUUAAUUUUUAAUAAUCUCAAAAAUAUUUUAUCGCUAUGUAUUCAUAAACUGUAUUAGUAUAAAACUAAAUGACGAUUACAGUCGAUUAAUAGUUAAUAAUAUCAGCUUGAAUAGCUUUUGCAGUCUUUAUGUUGUACUGAACAUAUUAUUCAGAAAAAUAAAAGUGUAUUAAUGAAAAGAAGUUCUCGUUUACCCUGCUGCAGCGGGUAUUUUUUGUGAAGGCUUGAGAAGGGAAUCGAACGACUGUGUUUCCCCUCUCUUGAUUACGCCACUGGCUCGACCCAGCGAGGCAGCACGGACAACCGGGUGCGCUGUUGCCAAGCGGAAAUCACAGACCUACGGCAUUUUCUUCUUCCACGAAAAGGAAGACGAAGACAUGUUCGUUUGCCGUGUUGCCUUCUGCAUCAACCAAGCUCAAAAACAACCAUCUCCAUAAUUGUGCGUCAAUUUAUUAAUCUUAUUUAACAAUACUAUCCUCAAUAUAAACUGCCAGUAGUAUCGAUCGAUGUAGUAAACUAUCUGUACGUCAUCUGUACUACCAUCACCAUCACUAACGUUAAUCAACGUUAAAAAAUAUUUUUGUCGAUUAGUCCAUGUCCUUUUCAGACACAGCGAGAUACUGCCUCAGAAGUGAAACGCGUGCCUUUUAAAGUAACAGAUUAAAUAUACGCUUUUGCUUAAAAAAGGAAGUAUGUUCUGACGAUAUCCAACUUAACGACCUCGAAAAAAUCACGUAAAUCACGGUUUUAUAAAAUCUCUUCGUGAUGAUUUUCAAGUAAAGGAAAAUUAAAGCAACAAUUGUACACUAUAAAAAGAAGAGCUUGUACGUGAGUGCUUAUUCCCUGUUAAUGUCGUUAGCGUAUCGAGACAAGAAUAUCGAUGGAGCAAUACCACAGUGGUCAGUUUCGACAAAUCCAUGUUGAAAAAAAAGUCAAUAUGAAAUGGAGGUCGAUAGCGUGAUGACCUCGAAGCCAAUCGGGAAUUUUACAAUGCCGUGGCCUCUCGCACGAAAGAUACAUGCUCAUGGUAUAUAUAUAAGGAUGCUCUGUUGCCACGUCUUGAUUCAGUAUAGACUACAAACCAAUAAAAUAAGUUUUCCUCAUGAAUCCUUGGCUUUACGCUGCACUAUUGAUAAAUCUUAAGGCAACGUCAACGAUAUGAGCAUAUCUCUUUAUUUUACGUGAACCACUCGCUUUAGUCCUCUCAUGAGGCGAUCAAAAUUAAUAUGUAUUAUUAUAUGUUUGUUGUUAUUAUAUAUAUUAAAUACAUACUAUGUAUGUAUAUUCAAUUUGGAUUAUCCGCGACCAGACCAACUAUUAAUCAAUAAUUAAACUUGUAACAUUAAAAAUUGAAUAGCUUUGGUAGGAAAAAUUAAUUACAAUUUAUUUCAUUUAAAGAAUUACACAAUAAAAAUAUACUUAACUUAAGAAGAUUUUUUUCUUAGGUGUUCUCAAUUGCAUACAUGUGACUUAAGAAUACAAACUACAACGCGAAUAACGACUAUCAACAGGUUUAAGGACUGGUGCAAAUAAAUGCUGCAACAUGGCAUGGUUACGAUUCCGCAUUAGUGACACUGUACGUUUUAGCAGAUUUAUAUUUCAAUAAGAGAAUCAUUCACUUGUUUGUAUUGCACCAUUCGAAGGAUGAAUCUUCUUCAAAUU
Molecule: long non-coding RNA, 2238 nt
Organism: Bombus huntii
Lineage: Eukaryota; Metazoa; Arthropoda; Insecta; Hymenoptera; Apidae
Exons: 3
Source: RefSeq, a predicted model, not a curated record